RNAcentral lists this ribosomal RNA (611 nucleotides) under uncultured fungus. RNAcentral's name for it is "eukaryotic LSU rRNA". The stretch from base 249 to 402 matches the Rfam family "5.8S ribosomal RNA". The record is from RNAcentral. Lineage: Eukaryota; Fungi.
CUUGGUCAUUUAGAGGAAGUAAAAGUCGUAACAAGGUUUCCGUAGGUGAACCUGCGGAAGGAUCAUUAAAGAGUAAGGGUGCUCAGCGCCCGACCUCCAACCCUUUGUUGUUAAAACUACCUUGUUGCUUUGGCGGGACCGCUCGGUCUCGAGCCGCUGGGGAUUCGUCCCAGGCGAGCGCCCGCCAGAGUUAAACCAAACUCUUGUUAUUUAACCGGUCGUCUGAGUUAAAAUUUUGAAUAAAUCAAAACUUUCAACAACGGAUCUCUUGGUUCUCGCAUCGAUGAAGAACGCAGCGAAAUGCGAUAAGUAAUGUGAAUUGCAGAAUUCAGUGAAUCAUCGAAUCUUUGAACGCACAUUGCGCCCCUUGGUAUUCCGAGGGGCAUGCCUGUUCGAGCGUCAUUACACCACUCAAGCUAUGCUUGGUAUUGGGUGCCGUCCUUAGUUGGGCGCGCCUUAAAGACCUCGGCGAGGCCUCACCGGCUUUAGGCGUAGUAGAAUUUAUUCGAACGUCUGUCAAAGGAGAGGACUUCUGCCGACUGAAACCUUUAUUUUUCUAGGUUGACCUCGGAUCAGGUAGGGAUACCCGCUGAACUUAAGCAUAUCAAUAA